This 240-nucleotide unclassified non-coding RNA is filed under the name soil metagenome. RNAcentral describes it as "partial contains 5.8S ribosomal RNA, internal transcribed spacer 2, and large subunit ribosomal RNA". The record is from RNAcentral.
AACCAUUCUCACCUGCGGCUAGACCUGCGGAAGGAUCAUUACAGAGUUGCAAAACUCCCCAAACCAUUGUGAACCUUACCUUCAAACGUUGCUUCGGCGGGCGGGCCACAGCGCCCCCCGGGCCCCCCCAGCGGGGGCGCCCGCCGGAGGAUACCCAAACUCUUGAUACUUUAUGGCCUCUCUGAGUCUUCUGUACUGAAUAAGUCAAAACUUUCAACAAUGGAUCUCAGAUCGGAAGAG